UGCUGUUUCGCUGACGAGUGGCGGACGGGUGAGUAAUGUCUGGGAAACUGCCUGAUGGAGGGGGAUAACUACUGGAAACGGUAGCUAAUACCGCAUAACGUCGCAAGACCAAAGAGGGGGACCUUCGGGCCUCUUGCCAUCGGAUGUGCCCAGAUGGGAUUAGCUAGUAGGUGGGGUAACGGCUCACCUAGGCGACGAUCCCUAGCUGGUCUGAGAGGAUGACCAGCCACACUGGAACUGAGACACGGUCCAGACUCCUACGGGAGGCAGCAGUGGGGAAUAUUGCACAAUGGGCGCAAGCCUGAUGCAGCCAUGCCGCGUGUAUGAAGAAGGCCUUCGGGUUGUAAAGUACUUUCAGCGGGGAGGAAGGGAGUAAAGUUAAUACCUUUACUCAUUGACGUUACCCGCAGAAGAAGCACCGGCUAACUCCGUGCCAGCAGCCGCGGUAAUACGGAGGGUGCAAGCGUUAAUCGGAAUUACUGGGCGUAAAGCGCACGCAGGCGGUUUGUUAAGUCAGAUGUGAAAUCCCCGGGCUCAACCUGGGAACUGCAUCUGAUACUGGCAAGCUUGAGUCUCGUAGAGGGGGGUAGAAUUCCAGGUGUAGCGGUGAAAUGCGUAGAGAUCUGGAGGAAUACCGGUGGCGAAGGCGGCCCCCUGGACGAAGACUGACGCUCAGGUGCGAAAGCGUGGGGAG
RNAcentral lists this ribosomal RNA (694 nucleotides) under uncultured bacterium. RNAcentral's name for it is "bacterial SSU rRNA". It matches the Rfam family "Bacterial small subunit ribosomal RNA", at positions 78 to 768 of the family's 1533-position model. The record is from RNAcentral.